This 160-nucleotide unclassified non-coding RNA is filed under the name uncultured Vestigium. RNAcentral describes it as "sequence contains ITS1". The record is from RNAcentral. Lineage: Eukaryota; Fungi; Ascomycota; Leotiomycetes; Helotiales.
CAGAGUUCAUGCCCGAAAGGGUAGACCUCCCACCCUUGAAUAAACUACCUUUGUUGCUUUGGCGGGCCGCCGCAAGGCUACCGGCUUCGGCUGGUGCGUGCCCGCCAGAGAACCUUCAAACUCUGAAUGUUAGUGUCGUCUGAGUACUAUAUAAUAGUUA